RNAcentral lists this ribosomal RNA (245 nucleotides) under uncultured bacterium. RNAcentral's name for it is "partial 16S ribosomal RNA". It matches the Rfam family "Bacterial small subunit ribosomal RNA", at positions 524 to 768 of the family's 1533-position model. The record is from RNAcentral.
UACGUAGGUGGCGAGCGUUGUCCGGAAUUACUGGGUGUAAAGGGCGUGUAGGCGGGGGAAUAAGUCAGAUGUGAAAAACCUAGGCUCAACUUAGGCACUGCAUCUGAAACUAUUCUUCUUGAGUGCUGGAGAGGAAAGCGGAAUUCCUAGUGUAGCGGUGAAAUGCGUAGAUAUUAGGAGGAACACCAGUGGCGAAGGCGGCUUUCUGGACAGUAACUGACGCUGAGGCGCGAAAGCGUGGGGAG